RNAcentral lists this ribosomal RNA (207 nucleotides) under uncultured bacterium. RNAcentral's name for it is "partial 16S ribosomal RNA". It matches the Rfam family "Bacterial small subunit ribosomal RNA", at positions 568 to 774 of the family's 1533-position model. The record is from RNAcentral.
CACGUAGUCGGCUUUGCAAGUCGGUUGUGAAAUCCCCGGGCUCAACCUGGGAACUGCAUCCGAGACUGCAUUGCUAGAGUAUGGGAGAGGAAAGCGGAAUUUCUGGUGUAGCAGUGAAAUGCGUAGAUAUCAGAAGGAACAUCAGUGGCGAAGGCGGCUUUCUGGACCAAUACUGACGAUCAGGUGCGAAAGCGUGGGGAGCAAACA